UCGGGAAUUUUGGGCAAUGGGCGAAAGCCUGACCCAGCAACGCCGCGUGAAGGAUGAAGUAUUUCGGUAUGUAAACUUCGUAAGAAUAGGAAGAAUAAAUGACGGUACUAUUUGUAAGGUCCGGCUAACUACGUGCCAGCAGCCGCGGUAAUACGUAGGGACCAAGCGUUGUUCGGAUUUACUGGGCGUAAAGUGCGCGUAGGCGGUGUGUCAAGUCAGUUGUGAAAUCUCCGAGCUUAACUCGGAACGGUCAACUGAUACUGUCACACUAGAGUACAGAAGGGGCAAUCGGAAUUCUUGGUGUAGCGGUGAAAUGCGUAGAUAUCAAGAGGAACACCUGAGGCGAAGGCGGGUUGCUGGGCUGAUACUGACGCUGAGGCGCGAAAGCUAGGGUAGCAAACGGGAUUAGAUACCCCCGUAGUCCCUGAGCGGGCUGGCAAGGCGCAU
Molecule: ribosomal RNA, 447 nt
Filed under: uncultured bacterium
Lineage: Bacteria
Description: bacterial SSU rRNA
Rfam family: Bacterial small subunit ribosomal RNA
Source: RNAcentral